Molecule: ribosomal RNA, 460 nt
Filed under: uncultured bacterium
Lineage: Bacteria
Description: partial 16S ribosomal RNA
Rfam family: Bacterial small subunit ribosomal RNA
Source: RNAcentral
CCUACGGGUGGCAGCAGUGAGGAAUAUUGGUCAAUGGACGAGAGUCUGAACCAGCCAAGUAGCGUGAAGGAUGACUGCCCUAUGGGUUUUAAACUUCUUUUAUAUGGGAAUAAAAUGUUCCACGUGUGGGAUUUUGUAUGUACCUUAUUAAUAAGGAUCGGCUAACUCCGUGCCAGCAGCCGCGGUAAUACGGAGGAUGCGAGCGUUAUCCGGAUUUAUUGGGUUGAAAGGGCGCGGAGGUGGAUUGUUAAGUCAGGUGUGAAAGGUUGGGGCUCAACCGUGGAAUUGCAUUUGAAACUGGCAGGCUUGAGUACAGUAGAGGUAGGCGGAAUUCGUGGUGUAGCGGUGAAAUGCGUAGAUAUCAGGAAGAACACCGAUGGCGAAGGCAGCUUACUGGACUGCAACUGACGCUGAGGCUCGAAAGUGUGGGUAGCAAACAGGAUUAGAUACCCCUGUAGUC